AAAACUUUAUCAACCUUCUCUCUCCCACUCUCUGCGACUCAUGAACAGAUCUGUGAGGAUUUCACCAGAUCUAGGGUUUUACUUUCAUUCGAUUUCAAAUCCAUGACCCCAUCCUGUGACGGUGUCGUGUGCAGUGUUAAAAUCCGCCGAUUAGGGUUCCGGCAGUGGGAUUCUCGAGCAGAUUGUUGGCAAAUGAGACGAGCAACUGGCGGUAGAUGGUGGUUGAGGUAGGUUCCGACAACCCGGUUCCGAUUUAUCGGCUGCAUGUACGUUUUCUGACAACGAAGUUUAGAAGCUGGUGGCGUGUUUGUGCUGGUUCGACAAAGCCAGAAAGCGGAGGCGACGGCUAGGGUUCCGAUUAGUGAUCUCGGUCCGAUGUUCUUCACGAGAGAUGAUCUACUCGAGAUGGUAAAGAUGGAAUUCCAGCAUUGCUUGGGGUUACAGGGGAUAUACCAGCAGCAGUUACCGUGGAGGAUAUUGAUAUUGCUGUGAAAGCAGCACGCAGAGCUCUUAAACAUGAUGAAGGAAAAGAAUGGGCAUCAGCUUCUGGGGCUCAUCGUGCAAAGUAUCUUCGUUCCAUUGCUACAAAGGUUACUGAGAAAAAGGAUAAGUUCGCUAAGCUUCCAAUGGAUACCUUUAAAUUCCAUAUCAUCAGGGAACCAAUUGGUGGUGUUGGGCUGAUUACUCCAUGGAAUUAUCCUUUGCUAAUGGCUAUUUGGAUAGUUGCAUCUGCACUGGCUGCUGGGUGUGCUGCAGUACUUAAGCCAUCAGAGUUGGCGUCUGUCACGUGUCUGGAAUUAGGCAAAGUAUGCAGGGAGGUGGGGCUGCCCCCUGGCACGUGUCUGCAACAAAAAUUCCUUCCGGCGCGUACACAACUACCACCAGCAAAACUGAAGAUGAGAAUUCUACCGGUGACAUCUAGAGUUGAAUUUCAUGUCUUAAGGUGGUUAUGAGGGUGUGCACCGUGAGUUCCAGCAAAUCAGCAAUGCCUAGAAAGUUUAGAAUGAGGGUUGUACGAUGGUGGUGGUUGUGCGAACACAUUUAGAUGGGCGAUUUGAAGAUGGCCAAAUUUUCCUAGCGAUUGAGGUAAGUACAGUCCUGCUUAGCUUCAUUUAUCAGCUAAUCUUAUCAUUCCGACCAGCAGUAGGUUGAGUGAAUAUGAUGUUUUAGGUCGGUUGGCAGCUAAGAUGUCUCUGACUGCUGUGAAUUUGGAGCCAGUGAAGUGGUGUUGUUUGAUCAAUUAACGUUUACGUGUUUUUUGAUCAAUUAGCGUUUCCUGUUACUAUGCAACAGACCAUUAUGUGGAGUGACAAACUUGGUUUGGUACCGGUGAAUAGUCAUGGGACCUAACUGUAUAUGGGGACUUAUAUUACCGUGCUUUAAUCUUUGUCAUAUAGACUAGAACAACUGCUCAAAAGGACUUAAAUUAUGGAACAUUGGGCUCGCUGGGAGGUUAAUAACUUACUGAAGCAAUUCUAGGGGCUGUUACCAGAACUUUGGGUAUUCCAGAUACCAUUUUUUUCUUAACUGGAAGUAAAGAUGGGAUGUAACGCUUUGGGAUGCUUAGAGGGCAAAAUUGGUAUCAAUGGCCAAAGAUGCAUGAUAGACAACAUUAAUAUUGUGGUUGGCUCAUAGAGUUGUACUAAUCUGAUGGGAACAUUGAUCUGGUGUGGCAUCUUGGGAUACUUGUUUGUAUUGUUCUGCAGGGAGUGAAUGUUUGAUGGGAUGCUGUUCCAUAUUCCAUCAAUUGGCAUUGCCUCCCAUUUGCUUUGUUAUACGAUUUAUGUCUGUUGGUUCAUAGAUUUGGCUUCCUUGGGAUAGAAAAUGUUUGUAUCUGGGGUGGCCCUUUGGUUUCAUAUAUUAAUUAGCUGGUUAGUCUUGGUGCAAUUUAAGAGUGUUACAGGUUGGUGCUAAGAUGAAAACUGUUAUUUUUGUUGAUUUUGUGAUGUUUAAUGGAAGUUUGUUUUGGCUGGUCAAAAAAAGAAAAACAACGUUCAUAAUUACAGAUUAUAUAUUUUGGCAAGAAAAUCUACAUAUACCAGCCAAGCGAAUAGUAUACAUUCACAUGUGAGAAUUUUUUAAUAUAUUAAAAGGUGGAAAAAUUGCAUAUGUGCCAAUUUGACCUGACCCAUUGACCCACAUAAAAUUACCCUCUUUGUCAAAGAGUCUUUGAGUUGGUACUGAAUUUCACCUCUUAGCACAGUCCAGUUUGUCACAUGUAGAUACUUGAUUUCUAUUUACAACUAACCAACAAUUAUAAAAUA
Molecule: long non-coding RNA, 2264 nt
Filed under: Helianthus annuus (common sunflower)
Lineage: Eukaryota; Viridiplantae; Streptophyta; Magnoliopsida; Asterales; Asteraceae
Source: RNAcentral